ACUCAAAGGAAUUGACGGGGCCCCGCACAAGCAGCGGAGCGUGUGGAUUAAUUCGAUGCAACGCGAAGAACCUCACCCAGGCUUGACAUGCCGGUGGUAGGGACCCGAGAGGGAACCGACCCGCAAGGGAGCCGGUACAGGUGCUGCAUGGCUGUCGUCAGCUCGUGCCGUGAGGUGUUGGGUUAAGUCCCGCAACGAGCGCAACCCCCGUCCCUAGUUGCCGUUUCUAGGGAGACUGCCGGGCGAACCCCGGAGGAGGGUGGGGAUGACGUCAAGUCCGCAUGGCCCCUACGCCUGGGGCUUCACACACGCUACAAUCGCCGGCACAGCGGGUCGCCACCACGCGAGUGGGAGCCAACCCCCCAAAACCGGCGCCAGUCCGGAUCGCAGGCUGCAACCCGCCUGCGUGAAGCCGGAGUUGCUAGUAACCGCGCGUCAGCACAGUGCGGUGAAUGCGUUCCCGGGGCUUGCACACACCGCCCGU
RNAcentral lists this ribosomal RNA (484 nucleotides) under uncultured bacterium. Its description in RNAcentral is "partial 16S ribosomal RNA". It matches the Rfam family "Bacterial small subunit ribosomal RNA", at positions 899 to 1397 of the family's 1533-position model. The record is from RNAcentral.